Drosophila suzukii is the source of this 642-nucleotide non-coding RNA. The record is from RefSeq and is a predicted model, not a curated record. Lineage: Eukaryota; Metazoa; Arthropoda; Insecta; Diptera; Drosophilidae.
AAUUCUUCUUCUUGACAGUAAAAAGUGAAACAUUCAAUACGAAAACGUAAACAAUGAUAAACAUAAUAUGCAAGCCCCCGGAGGCAAGCUAAUGUGGUUUAUGGAGAUGGAGCUUCUGCUAAUUGACAUUUGGCAGGAGAACAUCGAGCAGUAGCGGGAAGCCAGAAAAAAUGUCCAGUAUGUAUACAUGGAGAUGUUCCAGGCCUUAAUGGAAGCUGCGUUGGAUGUGUCCUACAAAGACGUCCGGACAACAUUGAAAAUCUGACCAAAAAGUAGAGGCAGGUAAAAAAUAUAAUGGGGACAAGCGGUGUGGCUCCUUCCGUGUGGCAGCAUUACGAGUUGCUCCACUCUUUUCUAGACGCUUAUCAGCGAGAAUACUAGGGAAUACUUUGUAGAGGUCGUUGAUGUCGACCCCGAUGACAGGGAAGCCUCCAUCUGCAGCGGGAGUCAACGCUCAGGCAGCACUGCACCCCCUGCUAAGCGCGAAAAGGUGGACCACAAGUCGGAGCUUGUGGAGAUAGCUAGAGAAAGGCUGGUGGAGCAGCGAGCGCAGACGGAAAAAAGUCGAGAAUGGCAGAUAGCAAAGCUAAAUUCCAAUCGAAUAUGUCACUUUAAAAAUAAAAUGAGAUGUUAUGUUAUAAU